UGUCAGGAGUUAUGAAAUGUAGGAAUGUUAAUAGCAUUUCUAUUUGACUAAGGCUCCAGAGGAAGCUCCGGCUAACUUCGUGCCAGCAGCCGCGGUAAGACGAAGGGAGCGAGCGUUGUUCGGAAUCACUGGGCAUAAAGCGUCCGUAGGCGGUUUGGGAAGUGGGGUGUGAAAUCCCCCGGCUUAACCGGGGAAUUGCAUCCCAAACUCCUUGACUUGAGGCGCAGAGGGGAGAGUGGAACUUCUGGUA
Molecule: ribosomal RNA, 250 nt
Filed under: uncultured anaerobic ammonium-oxidizing bacterium
Lineage: Bacteria
Description: partial 16S ribosomal RNA
Rfam family: Bacterial small subunit ribosomal RNA
Source: RNAcentral